This 459-nucleotide ribosomal RNA is filed under the name uncultured bacterium. RNAcentral describes it as "partial 16S ribosomal RNA". It matches the Rfam family "Bacterial small subunit ribosomal RNA", at positions 338 to 795 of the family's 1533-position model. The record is from RNAcentral.
CCUACGGGAGGCAGCAGUGAGGAAUAUUGGUCAAUGGGCGGGAGCCUGAACCAGCGAAGCCGCGUGAGGGAAGAAGUUACAGCGUAUCGUAAACCUCUUUUGUCAGGGAACAAAGGCGGGGACUAGUCCCCGGAUGAGGGUACCUGAAGAAAACGCAUCGGCUAACUCCGUGCCAGCAGCCGCGGUAAUACGGAGGAUGCGAGCGUUAUCCGGAUUUAUGCGGUUUAAAGGGUGCGAAGGCGGCCUGUUAAGUCAGCGGUAAAAGCCCGGGGUUCAACCCCGGCGAGCCGUUGAAACUGGGGGGCUGGAGUGGGAGAGAAGUACGCGGAAUGCGCGGUGUAGCGGUGAAAUGCGUAGAUAUCGGGCAGAACCCCGGUGGCGAAGGCAGCGUACCGGCUCCACACUGACGCUGAGGCACGAAAGCGUGGGUAUCGAACAGGAUUAGAUACCCGGGUAGUC